GCGGCUAUAGUCUAGUGGUUAGGAUCGGAGCUUCCCAAGCUUCUGACCCGGGUUCAAAUCCCGGUAGCCGCA
This 72-nucleotide transfer RNA is filed under the name archaeon. RNAcentral describes it as "tRNA-Gly". It matches the Rfam family "tRNA". Rfam says of the family: Transfer RNA (tRNA) molecules are approximately 80 nucleotides in length. Their secondary structure includes four short double-helical elements and three loops (D, anti-codon, and T loops). The record is from RNAcentral.